RNAcentral lists this ribosomal RNA (460 nucleotides) under uncultured bacterium. Its description in RNAcentral is "partial 16S ribosomal RNA". It matches the Rfam family "Bacterial small subunit ribosomal RNA", at positions 338 to 795 of the family's 1533-position model. The record is from RNAcentral.
CCUACGGGGGGCAGCAGUGCGGAAUAUUGGUCAAUGGACGAGAGUCUGAACCAGCCAAGUAGCGUGAAGGAUGACUGCCCUAUGGGUUGUAAACUUCUUUUAUAUGGGAAUAAAAUGUUCCACGUGUGGGAUUUUGUAUGUCCCAUAUGAUUAAGGAUAGGCUACCUCCGUGCCUGCAGCCGCGGUAAUACGGAGGAUCCGAGCGUUAUCCGGAUUUAUUGGGUUUAAAGGGGGCGUAGGUGGAUUGUUAAGCCAGUUGUGAAAGUUUGCGGCUCAACCGUAAAAUUGCAGUUGAAACUGGCAGGCUUGAGUACAGUAGAGGUGGGCGGAAUUCGUGGUGUAGCGGUGAAAUGCUUAGAUAUCACGAAGAACUCCGAUUGCGAAGGCAGCUCACUGGACUGCAACUGACACUGAGGCUCGAAAGUGUGGGUAUCAAACAGGAUUAGAUACCCUUGUAGUC